GACGAACGCUGGCGGCGUGCCUAACACAUGCAAGUCGAGCGAGUGAAUCUCCUUCGGGAGUGAAGCUAGCGGCGGACGGGUGAGUAACACGUGGGCAACCUGCCUCAUAGAGGGGAAUAGCCUUUCGAAAGGAAGAUUAAUACCGCAUAAGAUUGUAGCUUCGCAUGAAGUAGCAAUUAAAGGAGCAAUCCGCUAUGAGAUGGGCCCGCGGCGCAUUAGCUAGUUGGUGAGGUAACGGCUCACCAAGGCGAUGAUGCGUAGCCGACCUGAGAGGGUGAUCGGCCACAUUGGGACUGAGACACGGCCCAGACUCCUACGGGAGGCAGCAGUGGGGAAUAUUGCACAAUGGGGGAAACCCUGAUGCAGCAACGCCGCGUGAGUGAUGACGGCCUCGGUGUAAGACUCUUCGUCCGGUACGGAAGUACGUAGUAGGUUAAGUUAACCGUUACGUUCGUCGGAGUGGACGGUACCGGUACCGACGUAAGAAAGACAACCGGACCGUAACCUAACCGUUACGUACCG
RNAcentral lists this ribosomal RNA (522 nucleotides) under uncultured bacterium. RNAcentral's name for it is "bacterial SSU rRNA". It matches the Rfam family "Bacterial small subunit ribosomal RNA", at positions 28 to 536 of the family's 1533-position model. The record is from RNAcentral.